UACAGAGGGUGCAAGCGUUGUUCGGAAUUAUUGGGCGUAAAGCGCGUGUAGGCGGCUUUGCAAGUCGGGUGUGAAAGCCCUCGGCUCAACCGAGGAAGUGCGCCCGAAACUGCAGAGCUUGAGUACCGGAGAGGAUGGCGGAAUUCCCCAAGUAGAGGUGAAAUUCGUAGAUAUCGUAAGGAAGGCCGGUGGCGAAAGCGAACCUCUGGGCAGCAGCUGACGCUGUGGCACGAAGGCUAGGGGAGCAAACGGG
RNAcentral lists this ribosomal RNA (253 nucleotides) under uncultured bacterium. RNAcentral describes it as "partial 16S ribosomal RNA". It matches the Rfam family "Bacterial small subunit ribosomal RNA", at positions 524 to 776 of the family's 1533-position model. The record is from RNAcentral.